AUGCUGAGCAGGCGUCUGUGCUAAGGCUGGCAUCAGUAUGGUGAGCCCCGGGGAGCUGGGGCACGCCAGGUUGACUAAGGAGGGGUGAACCAGCCCAGGUCGGAAACAGAGCAGGUCAAAGCUCCCGUGCUGGUCAGUAGCGGGAUCACAGCUGUGAAU
RNAcentral lists this signal recognition particle RNA (159 nucleotides) under Nestor notabilis (Kea). Its description in RNAcentral is "Metazoan signal recognition particle RNA". It matches the Rfam family "Metazoan signal recognition particle RNA", at positions 95 to 253 of the family's 299-position model. Rfam says of the family: The signal recognition particle (SRP) is a universally conserved ribonucleoprotein. It is involved in the co-translational targeting of proteins to membranes. Lineage: Eukaryota; Metazoa; Chordata; Aves; Psittaciformes; Psittacidae. The record is from Rfam by way of RNAcentral.